Molecule: transfer RNA, 62 nt
Filed under: Tylos sp. clade G MM-2013
Lineage: Eukaryota; Metazoa; Arthropoda; Malacostraca; Isopoda; Tylidae
Description: tRNA-Pro
Source: RNAcentral
CAAGAGAUAGUUUAAAUAAAAUAUUAAUUUUGGAUAUUAAAGAAGUAUAUUUUCUCUCUUGA